CCUCUCCUGGCUGUGGUGUGAGGGGCUGGUCUGGAAGUUCCUCUCCCGGUGGGAAAGGCCUCUUCUGGCUGUAGUGAGAGGGCUGGUCUGGAAGUUUCUCUCCCGGUGGGAAAGGCCUCUCCUGGCUGUGGUGUGAGGGGCUGGUCUGGAAGUUUCUCUCCCGGUGGGAAAGGCCUCUCCUGGCGGUGGUGUGAGGGGCUGGUCUGGAAGUUUCUCUCCAGGUGGGAAAGGCCUCUCCUGGCUGUGGUGUGAGGGGCUGGUCUGGAAGCUUCUCUCCAGGUGGUAAAGGCCUCUCCUGGCUGUGGUGAGAGGGGCUGGUCUGGAAGUUUCUGUCCAGGUGGGAAAGGC
This 348-nucleotide long non-coding RNA is filed under the name Homo sapiens (human). RNAcentral describes it as "HSALNT0068574". Lineage: Eukaryota; Metazoa; Chordata; Mammalia; Primates; Hominidae. The record is from RNAcentral.